Gossypium arboreum is the source of this 451-nucleotide long non-coding RNA. RefSeq lists it as uncharacterized. The transcript is spliced from 2 exons. NCBI's taxonomy places the organism in Eukaryota, Viridiplantae, Streptophyta, Magnoliopsida, Malvales, Malvaceae. The record is from RefSeq and is a predicted model, not a curated record.
AAUUUGGAUACAAACUCUUUAGUUGUAAUUUUUGACUUUGAAAAGUUGGUUUGAUUUCUAACAACUAGAAGUGUCUGCCACAAUCUGGGACAUUCCGAACUCUUCCAUCUCAAUUCUGCACCCUUCCAGGCAUGAUGUGCCUCGAGCGGUUCGCUCUGCACCAUGGAGUGUGCUGCUCUUUGGUGGACGGUGACCAUUACAGUUGAAUGUAGGAGUAUGAACACAUUAUUUUAGUGUGCAUCUGCUAUCAACAAUUUGGCUGUAUUCUACUUCAACAACAUUACAAUGGUAGAGGCACCCACUUCAUCUGCUGCUGUUAAACUUGCCCACCAUAUUGUAGACUGGCCCGCCCUAGUUUGUUUCCGCAAAUGAGUGACGAACUUACUGACUUAUUAUGUUAUAUAUAGUGUACAUGGAACAAAUUUUAUUAUUAUUAUUUUCAAUACGUAAA